UCCAGCACUCAGCAGACGAUUGUAAUCGAGGCACAGCGAUUUCGGGGCUCGACGACGUUUUGCAAUCUUUUAUUUAAAUUUUCACGUUUGAAAUCGAAUUUUCUACCGUGAAACAAUGGCCGAGGGCGAACAAAAGCUUACGGGCUUGGCAAAACAUUUUAAUAGUCAAACAAAUUAUGGUCGGAGGAAUGUGACGGUUGCAACUUACGCUGGUAUAGGAGUGAUUGCCUUGUACUUCUUCGUGAGAUCAAAGACUAAAAAGACAUAACUUAUAGAAUUGCAGUCGCAUUAUGUAA
Long non-coding RNA from Trachymyrmex septentrionalis, 296 nucleotides. RefSeq lists it as uncharacterized. The record is from RefSeq and is a predicted model, not a curated record. The transcript has 2 exons. Lineage: Eukaryota; Metazoa; Arthropoda; Insecta; Hymenoptera; Formicidae.